UAAUUAUUUAAUGUUCCUCGUGUUCUGAUGUACAAGGACAAUAUAAAAACAUAAACACAUUGGUUGAAAGUAAGAAGAAAUUUCUUCUGGCUCUGCAGAAUCUUCUCCCUCGGAAUUUCAAAAUGUUUUUAAAUUUGAUCCUCAAGCUACAGUAUUCUUCAUGAUUUUUUGUAAGUGCUGCCACAACACAGCAGCAUUAUGGCCCCAGACCAGAGAGUGAAGAAAGACAUCUUGAGAACAAAGGUGCAACAUCUACAUGCAAAGAAUCAAAAUAACAAAGUAUAAAAUCCUGAGAUCUGGCCCAUUAAAGGACUUGGAUCAGGCAUUAGAGAGAAGAAAAAAGAGAGCAGAGCAGGAUAACCGUGCUUUACACUACUAUAAAGAGCAGAAAAGAACAAGUUUGGGACAAUUUUCAUGAUAAAACAUUAAAAAAAAAAAAAGAGGCAUGGAUAUGAUGAGACAGUGUGACCAUGGCUGCCUCUUAGAAAGUGAUAAAUAUCUGCUGAAUGAAUGUGUUCUGCAAAUUAUCUGCUAGCAGAGCGCAAAAAUACAUACAGUGACCACCCAGCCACCUCUACUCCCAGGACGUUUCCUAUAUAGCGCUUCCCCAAUUUGGAGUGUUCCUCCUUGCUUUCUCCCCAGUGGCAAAACACUUCUCACUUCGUGCUUGAAUUCCUAAAGAAUGGCAAAAGUCCUGAGUAAGGUGUAUCUUGGAAGCAUUUUGGUCCAAUUGACUAGGAAGAUUGGUUAAAAAUUACACUGCUGUAACCCAUCUCCCUGGAGCUAUUAGCCAUCACCUACUUCUGUGCCUGUCCUUGGUAUGGUGAUGGAUUUGUCAGGCAGCUCUCCUGUCAUCCCAUGACACAAAAUGUGGGAAUAUCCAUUGCUAUUAACAAGGUACUAAAGUGCUCUUGGGGCGUUCAUGGCUGCAUGGUUUUAUGGAUCCUCCUAAUCUACCAGCCAUUACUUUUAAGUGGUCCAUGAACUGGACAACAUAUGCAGAAAAGACAAAAG
Molecule: long non-coding RNA, 1014 nt
Organism: Cygnus olor (mute swan)
Lineage: Eukaryota; Metazoa; Chordata; Aves; Anseriformes; Anatidae
Exons: 3
Source: RefSeq, a predicted model, not a curated record